GGCGGGGCCGGCGGCUUGGAGGCGGGGUCCCGGGCGAGCCGCCCUGGGAGGCGGGGGCCGUUUCCAUAGCGGCGGCAGGAGGUGUCGCGCCGGGGAACUUCCUGGUUCCCGGGCUCGGCUUCGCCGGGAUUAUCUUGGAAGGGAAACAAUGGGGCGGAGGGCACUGCGGUAGCCGCUCGCCGCACCGCCCGACCUGCUCGGCCGCCUGGGACUGCGCGCUCCGCCUGCUGCCCGUAACCUCCGCCGGGACCGUCCGGAGAAUGAGAAGACAUUACCUGGGAAUCUGUCCUGACAUACAUGGUGGAACUAAGGAACUGAGAAUCUGAAUUGAGAGGAAGAAUAGGACAUGUAUUCCUCUGAGAAACCCUGGACAGUAGAUUUUGGUUUAAUAGUGGAUUGGGACAACAUACAGAGACAUUUCCAGUCAUGAGUAAGUGUUCUGUUUUGUUUCAUUUCUGUUGUCUCAGGAGCAUUUGUAGUGUGGUACUUAAAAAAAAAAGUAUUACUAGAUAAAUUGGAAGUAUGUCACUUCUUCAGAGAAUAAUCUGGUUCCUCCC
RNAcentral lists this long non-coding RNA (557 nucleotides) under Castor canadensis (American beaver). Its description in RNAcentral is "lncRNA (ENSCCNG00000008995.1)". Lineage: Eukaryota; Metazoa; Chordata; Mammalia; Rodentia; Castoridae. The record is from RNAcentral.